AACGAACGCUGGCGGCAUGCCUAACACAUGCAAGUCGAACGAGACCUUCGGGUCUAGUGGCGCGCGGGUGCGUAACGCGUGGGAACCUGCCCUUAGGUUCGGAAUAACUCCCCGAAAGGGGUGCUAAUACCGGAUAAUGUCUUCGGACCAAAGAUUUAUCGCCUUUGGAUGGGCCCGCGUUGGAUUAGCUAGUUGGUAGGGUAAAAGCCUACCAAGGCGACGAUCCAUAGCUGGUCUGAGAGGAUGAUCAGCCACACUGGGACUGAGACACGGCCCAGACUCCUACGGGAGGCAGCAGUGGGGAAUAUUGGACAAUGGGCGAAAGCCUGAUCCAGCAAUGCCGCGUGAGCGAUGAAGGCCUUAGGGUUGUAAAGCUCUUUUACCCGGGAUGAUAAUGACAGUACCGGGAGAAUAAGCUCCGGCUAACUCCGUG
This 433-nucleotide ribosomal RNA is filed under the name uncultured bacterium. Its description in RNAcentral is "partial 16S ribosomal RNA". It matches the Rfam family "Bacterial small subunit ribosomal RNA", at positions 29 to 507 of the family's 1533-position model. The record is from RNAcentral.